RNAcentral lists this ribosomal RNA (253 nucleotides) under uncultured bacterium. RNAcentral's name for it is "partial 16S ribosomal RNA". It matches the Rfam family "Bacterial small subunit ribosomal RNA", at positions 524 to 776 of the family's 1533-position model. The record is from RNAcentral.
UACGGGGGGAGCAAGCGUUGUUCGGAUUUACUGGGCGUAAAGGGCGCGUAGGCGGCGCAACAAGUCACUUGUGAAAUCUCCGGGCUUAACCCGGAGCGGCCAAGUGAUACUGUCGUGCUAGAGUGCGGAAGGGGCUACUGGAAUUCUCGGUGUAGCGGUGAAAUGCGUAGAUAUCGAGAGGAACACCUGCGGCGAAGGCGGGUAGCUGGGCCGACACUGACGCUGAUGCGCGAAAGCGUGGGGAGCAAACAGG